UUUUACCCUUCUCAAAACAAAUACACAAUAUCAAGAUCAGGUUGGUUGGUGAACAUAUUCAAGCAAAAUCUUGAAGCUGCAAGUUUUGUUUAAUCAGAUCAUACCUUCCUUGUCAACUGAGAUUCAAGAUCUGCAGUUGUGUGGUCCACAUCUCCUUCAUCAACAACAGGAGCAGCAUCCCCUUGGCUCUGAACUACAGGUACAGCAGCACCUUGGCCUUGAACUACAGGUUCAGCAGUACUUUGGUCCUCACCAACAGUUCCAACGGCAGCAGAGGUUUGACCUUCGUCAACAGGUGCAGUGUUCUUGCAUUUCUUUGUGGUAUGCCCUUCUUGCUUGCAUUUUCCACAUUCAGUUAUUCUCUGUGUUAAAUCCAACAAAAAUUCAGCAAUGACAAUUCAUAAAUCAGCCAUAUGAAAACAACAUAAAAUCCAACAAUAAACCAUCAUUUACCUUCUUUCUUGUUUCAUAUCCAGGAGCUGGUUCAUUCUUGCAACCUCUGGCAUUGUGUCCAUGUUGGUUGAAUCUCCCACAUUUUAUGGGUGCACCACCUCUCCUCAAUCUACUUGGAUUUGGAUCUUCAUAAGGAUCCCUUCUCCUUAACUUCUUUGGCCUACCGGCAG
Molecule: long non-coding RNA, 623 nt
Filed under: Lotus japonicus
Lineage: Eukaryota; Viridiplantae; Streptophyta; Magnoliopsida; Fabales; Fabaceae
Description: long non-coding RNA (LJAP_LNC000294)
Source: RNAcentral